GGCCGCAGUGAAAAGGCCCAGGCGACUGUUUAACAAAAACACAUGGCUUUGCGAAAUCGAAAGAUGAUGUAUAAGGCCUGACACCUGCCCGGUGCUGGAAGGUUAAGAGGAGCUGUGCAAGCAGCGAAUUGAAGCCCCAGUAAACGGCGGCCGUAACAAUAACGGUCCUAAGGUAGCGAAAUUCCUUGUCGGGUAAGUUCCGACCUGCACGAAUGGCGUAACGACUUCCCCACUGUCUCCAACACCAACUCAGCGAAAUUGAAUUCUCCGUGAAGAUGCGGAGUACCCGCGGUCAGACGGAAAGACCCCGUGCACCUU
RNAcentral lists this ribosomal RNA (318 nucleotides) under uncultured Vannella. RNAcentral's name for it is "partial Bacterial large subunit ribosomal RNA". It matches the Rfam family "Bacterial large subunit ribosomal RNA", at positions 1775 to 2101 of the family's 2925-position model. The record is from RNAcentral. Lineage: Eukaryota; Discosea; Flabellinia; Vannellidae.